RNAcentral lists this ribosomal RNA (596 nucleotides) under uncultured Bacteroidales bacterium. RNAcentral's name for it is "bacterial SSU rRNA". It matches the Rfam family "Bacterial small subunit ribosomal RNA", at positions 115 to 707 of the family's 1533-position model. Lineage: Bacteria; Pseudomonadati; Bacteroidota; Bacteroidia; Bacteroidales. The record is from RNAcentral.
ACGUAUCCAACCUGCCGUCUACUCUUGGCCAGCCUUCUGAAAGGAAGAUUAAUCCAGGAUGGCAUCAUGAGUUCACAUGUCCGCAUGAUUAAAGGUAUUUUCCGGUAGACGAUGGGGAUGCGUUCCAUUAGAUAGUAGGCGGGGUAACGGCCCACCUAGUCAACGAUGGAUAGGGGUUCUGAGAGGAAGGUCCCCCACAUUGGAACUGAGACACGGUCCAAACUCCUACGGGAGGCAGCAGUGAGGAAUAUUGGUCAAUGGGCGAUGGCCUGAACCAGCCAAGUAGCGUGAAGGAUGACUGCCCUAUGGGUUGUAAACUUCUUUUAUAAAGGAAUAAAGUCGGGUAUGCAUACCCGUUUGCAUGUACUUUAUGAAUAAGGAUCGGCUAACUCCGUGCCAGCAGCCGCGGUAAUACGGAGGAUCCGAGCGUUAUCCGGAUUUAUUGGGUUUAAAGGGAGCGUAGAUGGAUGUUUAAGUCAGUUGUGAAAGUUUGCGGCUCAACCGUAAAAUUGCAGUUGAUACUGGAUGUCUUGAGUGCAGUUGAGGCAGGCGGAAUUCGUGGUGUAGCGGUGAAAUGCUUAGAUAUCACGAAGAAC